RNAcentral lists this ribosomal RNA (460 nucleotides) under uncultured Streptococcus sp. RNAcentral describes it as "bacterial SSU rRNA". It matches the Rfam family "Bacterial small subunit ribosomal RNA", at positions 920 to 1382 of the family's 1533-position model. Lineage: Bacteria; Bacillati; Bacillota; Bacilli; Lactobacillales; Streptococcaceae. The record is from RNAcentral.
CCCGCACAAGCGGUGGAGCAUGUUGGUUUAAUUCGAAGCAACGCGAAGAACCUUACAGGUCUUGACAUCCCGAUGCUAUUCUAGAGAUAGAAAGUUACUUCGGUACAUCGGUGACAGGUGGUGCAUGGUUGUCGUCAGCUCGUGUCGUGAGAUGUUGGGUUAAGUCCCGCAACGAGCGCAACCCCUAUUGUUAGUUGCCAUCAUUCAGUUGGGCACUCUAGCGAGACUGCCGGUAAUAAACCGGAGGAAGGUGGGGAUGACGUCAAAUCAUCAUGCCCCUUAUGACCUGGGCUACACACGUGCUACAAUGGUUGGUACAACGAGUUGCGAGUCGGUGGCGGCGAGCUAAUCUCUUAAAGCCAAUCUCAGUUCGGAUUGUAGGCUGCAACUCGCCUACAUGAAGUCGGAAUCGCUAGUAAUCGCGGAUCAGCACGCCGCGGUGAAUACGUUCCCGGGCCUU